GAUGAACGCUGGCGGCGUGCCUAAUACAUGCAAGUCGAGCGAACAGACGAGGAGCUUGCUCCUCUGACGUUAGCGGCGGACGGGUGAGUAACACGUGGAUAACCUACCUAUAAGACUGGGAUAACUUCGGGAAACCGGAGCUAAUACCGGAUAAUAUAUUGAACCGCAUGGUUCAAUAGUGAAAGACGGUUUUGCUGUCACUUAUAGAUGGAUCCGCGCCGCAUUAGCUAGUUGGUAAGGUAACGGCUUACCAAGGCAACGAUGCGUAGCCGACCUGAGAGGGUGAUCGGCCACACUGGAACUGAGACACGGUCCAGACUCCUACGGGAGGCAGCAGUAGGGAAUCUUCCGCAAUGGGCGAAAGCCUGACGGAGCAACGCCGCGUGAGUGAUGAAGGUCUUCGGAUCGUAAAACUCUGUUAUUAGGGAAGAACAAAUGUGUAAGUAACUACGCACGUCUUGACGGUACCUAAUCAGAAAGCCACGGCUAACCACGU
Molecule: ribosomal RNA, 496 nt
Filed under: uncultured bacterium
Lineage: Bacteria
Description: partial 16S ribosomal RNA
Rfam family: Bacterial small subunit ribosomal RNA
Source: RNAcentral